RNAcentral lists this ribosomal RNA (468 nucleotides) under uncultured bacterium. Its description in RNAcentral is "partial 16S ribosomal RNA". It matches the Rfam family "Bacterial small subunit ribosomal RNA", at positions 28 to 507 of the family's 1533-position model. The record is from RNAcentral.
GACGAACGCUGGCGGCGUGCUUAACACAUGCAAGUCGAACGGAAAGGCCCUGCUUUUGUGGGGUGCUCGAGUGGCGAACGGGGGAGUAACACGUGAGUAACCUGCCCUUGACUUUGGGAUAACUUCAGGAAACUGGGGCUAAUACCGGAUAGGAGCUCCUGCUGCAUGGUGGGGGUUGGAAAGUUUCGGCGGUUGGGGAUGGACUCGCGGCUUAUCAGCUUGUGGGUGGGGUAGUGGCUUACCAAGGCUUUGACGGGUAGCCGGCCUGAGAGGGUGACCGGCCACAUUGGGACUGCGAUACGGCCCAGACUCCUACGGGAGGCAGCAGUGGGGAAUAUUGCACAAUGGGCGGAAGCCUGAUGCAGCAACGCCGCGUGCGGGAUGACGGCCUUCGGGUUGUAAACCGCUUUCGCCUGUGACGAAGCGUGAGUGACGGUAAUGGGUAAAGAAGCACCGGCUAACUACGUG